AACCCAAGAUCUCCCCCUCACUUUUCCCUCCUCUCCCUCUCCUCUCCUAGUCAUUUCCCCUUCCCCCACCGUAGCCUUCCCUCUUCUCUCGCACUCCUCACUACAGCCAACAGCGUUGCCGCCGCACAUCUAUAGCUCCACCCCACGCUAACCACCUCCCCACCUUCGAUCUCCUCCCCCAUUGACCUCUCUCUCUCUCUCUCGCUCUCUCUCUCCGCAGCACAACCCAGCCCGUAGCCCUCUCUCCCUACUCCCUCAGUUUCUCCUUCACCAAGCAGCCACUGUGCCACCAUGAGUGGCUCUUGAGCUCGCCAUCGAGCCUUGCCUGCCAUCCCUCCCUUGCAGCCUCACCCCUCGCCUUGGAUCCCCCCACAGUCCAUCUCGUAGCUUCUUUUCUCCCCUCGAGCUUCCUCCAACGCCGCGCUCUGCCUCAAAUCAGCCGAGAUCCCAGCAUCGGGACACUAUGGGCCACCUCUUCUCCCUAGAUCUAGUCGUCGAGCCCCAACCACACAGCUCUCCCUCCCUCUCUCCCUCACAAAUCUCAUUAGAUUCAAUGCCUCACCGCCGUGCACAGCUUCCAGCCACGGCUGUCUCCACCCAGGGUCAACCCCGUGACCCAGUCCCAAUGCCACUGUGCCCAACUAACCAAGGCCUUGCCUCCCUCUCUUUUCUCCUUCGGCAUCUAGCACACACGCACAUACCCACCACCGUACAAGUCCAAGCAAGCCAUGGACCACCCCUCUCCACCUCCUGCUGCCACCACGAAGCCCACACCAAACCUUGGCCACCCCAAAUAGCCAUGUCUUAGGGUCACGGCAGUGACCAAGCCCUAACUCAACUCCUUCUUGCACGUGCAUAGCCGCCAUUGUGGGACCAUGCCGAGCAGCAAACAGCGUGAGCUUUCAGCCUCUUGCUAUGGAUUGAAAUUGUUUCUCAGGCCAAAAGGAAAAAGGAGUAAGCCAAACAAAAAGGAAAAUAUUCAGAACUUUGCGAUGAUUAAACUAAUAGCUUGUGUAAUGCACCUUCUGAAAUUGGAUGGAAGUGAGUGCACACUCCUCUGUAUGUCAACUACAACUAACAUUGUCAUGCCUUGCCUGAAAGAAAUCACAUGGUUUCACAAAUUGGAACGUUUCAGAAUGAAUACGUUGAAAAUAUGCCAAAAAAAGAGAGAUCAAACAAAAUAUGUAUAUGCACAUAUAGCUUGAUACAGUCCCAUUACGUGUGUAUUGUAUUUAAAUGGAGUUAAAGCUGAUGUAGUUUGACAUAUUCAUCCAUCUAUUUUAGGGUUCCUGUUGUUUCGAUCUCUAUCUUCUAGUUGUAAAGUUUUUUAUUGGAUGUUAUUGUAAUUUGUUGAACUUUUGGAUUUGUACUUCAGACUUUUAGUAUUCGGAUUUGUAAUUUGUUGGACUUUGGGACUAAUAAUUUAGACUUUUGGACUUAUUUUAUUUCAUAGCAGAAUUUUAUUUUUA
Molecule: long non-coding RNA, 1469 nt
Organism: Carya illinoinensis
Lineage: Eukaryota; Viridiplantae; Streptophyta; Magnoliopsida; Fagales; Juglandaceae
Exons: 2
Source: RefSeq, a predicted model, not a curated record